Molecule: transfer RNA, 66 nt
Filed under: Marmota monax (woodchuck)
Lineage: Eukaryota; Metazoa; Chordata; Mammalia; Rodentia; Sciuridae
Description: tRNA.Val
Rfam family: tRNA (bases 6-61)
About the family: Transfer RNA (tRNA) molecules are approximately 80 nucleotides in length. Their secondary structure includes four short double-helical elements and three loops (D, anti-codon, and T loops).
Source: RNAcentral
GGUCCAGCUCAGUGGUAGAGCAUUUGCCCUACAGGCAUGAGGCCCUGAGUUCAAUCCCCAGCACCA